GUACAUGACCUCUUGCAGUGCA
RNAcentral lists this microRNA (22 nucleotides) under Gadus morhua (Atlantic cod). RNAcentral's name for it is "gmo-miR-2184-3p". Lineage: Eukaryota; Metazoa; Chordata; Actinopteri; Gadiformes; Gadidae. The record is from miRBase by way of RNAcentral.